GUAGCUAGUUACCUGGCUCCACAGGCCAUGAUACUGGGUUUCUUGGAAUUGGUGGAGAAAACAACGUUUUUCUUUUACCAAAAUUCUGCCUCAUGUGACUUUUCAACAGUGGAACCUUUUUAAAAGAGAAUGUGAGAUCCAGGAGUCUGGGAAAUUGUUCCAUGGCUUCAGGACUUCCCCAGCUUUGUGUAUGGGAACUGUUCUAGAAAUUAUGGGGAAAACUUGAUAUUGGAUAAGACCUGUGAUUCAGCAUGCACAUGUACACAAAUAAAAACAGUCUAUCAGCUUUAGAUAUGGA
Callorhinus ursinus (northern fur seal) is the source of this 298-nucleotide non-coding RNA. NCBI's taxonomy places the organism in Eukaryota, Metazoa, Chordata, Mammalia, Carnivora, Otariidae. The record is from RefSeq and is a predicted model, not a curated record.